RNAcentral lists this ribosomal RNA (207 nucleotides) under uncultured bacterium. RNAcentral describes it as "partial 16S ribosomal RNA". It matches the Rfam family "Bacterial small subunit ribosomal RNA", at positions 568 to 774 of the family's 1533-position model. The record is from RNAcentral.
CACGUAGGCGGACUGAAAAGUCAGAGGUGAAAUCCCAGGGCUCAACCUUGGAACUGCCUUUGAAACUCUCAGUCUUGAGGUCGAGAGAGGUGAGUGGAAUUCCGAGUGUAGAGGUGAAAUUCGUAGAUAUUCGGAGGAACACCAGUGGCGAAGGCGGCUCACUGGCUCGAUACUGACGCUGAGGUGCGAAAGCGUGGGGAGCAAACA